GUGAAAAUCAACUCCUCCACCACCAUUUGAAGCACACAAUGAGAACGCCAGCAGUUCAAGGGACUGUUCCGGAAUGUCAUAGAACUACCUAUCUUUCAAAUCCUUAAUUGUCUAUACAGAAAAGAUGACUGACUUUCAACCAUCAUUUGUAAACUUUAUUAUCAAAGAUUGUGACACUAGAGGCAAGUAUAUUUUGUUGUUUGAGAAAUUUGCACUGAGACUUGUUUAAUUGUAUUGCGUUUUCACAUGAUUUCCAUAUGCUUAUGUUUAACAAUUUGCUGGUUAAUUGCUUUUCAUCGCCAAUAAUAAAGUCAAAGUUAUGGCUCGAA
This is a long non-coding RNA of Bombina bombina (fire-bellied toad), 329 nucleotides long. RefSeq lists it as uncharacterized. Lineage: Eukaryota; Metazoa; Chordata; Amphibia; Anura; Bombinatoridae. The transcript has 2 exons. The record is from RefSeq and is a predicted model, not a curated record.